GUUUCGAAGAUGGAGUGCCUCUGAUCCUUACCACGCUUGAGGUUCUUGAUCAUUCUACAAGAUAGGAACAUAUAUUGCACAUUCGUUAUUAGAAGAUGGUGGUGAUUCAAUUGUGGAGGAUGACUCAAACAUAGGAUCGGAGGUUUCAACAUAGUAGUCCAACAAUGCGUGGAAUGUCAACGAUAUCGUGUGGUGUUUUAAGAUCUUGGCUUGGAGAUGGUUAGUCAUAGGAAAAAUUAGUCAAACCAAUUGUAACUUUUAUAAUUUUAGCAAAGACCCUAUGCUAUUUUUAUCGCAAGUCUCAAUUGGUGGAUAAUUUUUCUUCGGGGUGUUUUGUUUUCCCGCCCCUCUUUUGUAAGUUCGGUUGAGAACUUGGGUUCUCUUUCAUCAAUGAAAUCUUGCCUACAGAAAAAAAAUAGUAGUCCAAUUUUGCAAUGUACUCCAUAUCAUAGAGUCGUUCUCUUUAGUCAUUCAACAUAUUUCGGUGCAUGUCUGAAGGGAUGUAUAAAUAGUACAUGUAGCGAGGUUGAUCUUAUUGGUGAAAAGAUAUUUGUCUAUUACUGCCCUUGUUGGUGAUUGAAACAAAAUAGUGACGCGCAAGAAACCUUGUGAUUAUUGUAAGUUUG
Vicia villosa (hairy vetch) is the source of this 626-nucleotide long non-coding RNA. RefSeq lists it as uncharacterized. The transcript is spliced from 3 exons. Lineage: Eukaryota; Viridiplantae; Streptophyta; Magnoliopsida; Fabales; Fabaceae. The record is from RefSeq and is a predicted model, not a curated record.